Molecule: long non-coding RNA, 3480 nt
Filed under: Sus scrofa (pig)
Lineage: Eukaryota; Metazoa; Chordata; Mammalia; Artiodactyla; Suidae
Description: lncRNA (ENSSSCG00005007286.1)
Source: RNAcentral
UUUUUUUUUCCUUUUUUCAUGAAAAUAUUUACAGUGUUGUGCCAAUUUCUACUGUAUAGCAAAGUGACCCAGUCAUACAUAUAUAUACAUUCCUUUUGCUGUAUUAUCUUCCACCAUGGUCUAUCCCAAGAGACUGGAUACAGUUCCCUGUGCUCUACAGCAGGAUCUUCUCAUUGCUUAUCUGUUCUAAAUGGAAUAGUUUACAUCUACUAACCCCAAACUCCCGGUCCAUCCUCCCCGCUCCCCUCUCCCCCUUGGCUAUCACAUGAUCCAGCAAUUCCACUCCCGGGCAUAUAUCCCAACAAAACUACAAUUCAAAAAGAUACAUGCACCUGUAUUUAUUUAUUCACUUUUUUGUCUUUUGUCUUUUCAGGGCCGCACCCGAGGCAUAUGGAGCGGCCCUAAAAAGACAAAAUGAAAUAAAAUAAAAUAAAACAGCGUCACUAAGGAUGAUGAGGUGUAAGUCCUAUACAGCUCAGAGAAGGCGCGGAAAUCUAAUCACCACAGCAUCAGAUUUUGCCUGAGGUCAUUCCGUUCUGAGUCCCUCAUUUGUAAAAGGAAGACUGCACAUUCCCGCCCCUAGGGUGUUUGUCACGACGUUGAAAUGAGCGAGCAUAUGGUGCUUGAACACCCUGGGAGGAAAAAACUGGACAGGUUGCACCACAGUGCAAAGGUACUGAACACCCCCGAAAUGGAUGCUUGACAAAUGGUUAAGAUGAUCAAUUUUACGUUGUAGGUGCUUUGCCGUAACUAAACAAACAAACAAAAAAAUAGUCGUCCCGUACAUCAUUGAUAAACAAGCAUCAGGUGCAAUGGUUAAUAUCCAGUUAUUUUAUUCUGAACAGUUAUCAUCAUCACACACAUUUAUUCCUAAGAUAGAUGCAGACCCACUCCCACUGCUCUGGCUGGUCUCCCCCUGCUCUGACUGUCUCUGAUCCUCAGAAGGUUCCUGGGCUCCCAGACACUAACCUACACUUCCCCUCACUCUUGGACUCUCGACGAGCACAGUCACUUGAAUCCCUUCAGCGGAGGGUCCUGCAAGCCCCUCCUUGAAGGCAUACGUCCCGCACCCUCGUUCUCAGCCUCCAAUCGAUGAUGUUCAGUCAGCUUUACUUGAAAUCUGGCUCCCGCAUCCCAGGGGUCACGAAACCGUGACAACUCCAUUUCAGAAAGGCCCCAACGCUCCAAAAUCUCACUCCUUCCUUUCUCAUUACUUUAGUUUCGUCUCUAUGGCCCCUCACCCAGACUACGACGACAACAUUCUCUCUGGUCAAAAGGCUUUCCGUCCCUUCCACCUCGCCCUCCCACCACUCCUAGGAUUCUCUUCCAAAAAGUCAAAUCCAAUGUGCCUUUCACGAACAUAAAGUACCCAGCGGGCUCCCGUCUGGGUUAAGUCUAUUCUUAUCUCACCAAAGUCUGUUUAUAGGCAGCUGUUUAUAUCAACCUACGUUUACACUCACAUGGCCCAUGGCUCCCCUCCCAACCUUGAACCUUGGUUUUUGUUUUUGUUUCUUUUGGUCUUUUUAGAUCGGCACCAGGGGCACAUGGAGAUUCCCAGGCUAGGGGCCCAAUCGGAGCUACAGCUUCCAGCCUACAUCACAGCCACGACAACACUGGACCCGAGCCGCGUCUGAGACUUACACCACAGCUCGUGGCAACACUGGAUCCUUAAGCUACUGAGCGAGGCCAGGGAUCGAACCUGCUUCCUCAUGGAUGCUAGUCAGAUUCGUUUCUGCUGAGCCACGACAGGAACUCUGAACCUCGCUCUUUUACACGCUUCUCUCCAUAUGCUAACACUUUGCUUUUUGCAAAUUGCAUCCCCGUUUGCCUAUUAUCAGCACCGUCUUUGCUCCCUAGCAAUCAUCCACAUCCACGCAGCUUCAGCAAGAUUGGGAUCAGACGCCUCUUCUGGACAGCGUGGUUCAGAUGUCACACCAUUGCUCCGUACACACUGGGCCGGGGGCGGGGCGGGGGGGAGGUUAAUAAUUCAUCAAGGUACCUCAGCUUUCUCUUCAAUUAGACCGUCUAUCUCUGAAGGCUUGUUAUGUCUUUGUCAUCUCGCCAUCCCUAGCUCCCAGGACAGUGCUUAGCUCAGCACAUAGGGAGGGCUAAGUCUGUUGAGUGAACCAUGAGGGAAAGAUGCCAUGGCUGAGCUUAUUAACUUCCAAUCUUAGGAAAAUCACUUUGGCAAGGCCACCUGUAAUAGUUUAAGAUGUCCCACACCGGACACGAAUGAGGUGCUCUGCGAUGACCGCAAAUCCUUUGGACAAGUUAAGCUGCCUUUCGUACCCUGGAUAGGUAAUUUACUAAUUGGCAUCCAGGGACCCUUGUAUCUGUUAUCUCUCACGGUGGCUGGCGUACACUUGAGGAAUACCUCAUCACCCACGACACUGAAAGCAGUAAUGAAUUCCUGACUAUUCUGAACACAUGGACACAUGAAUCCUUACUCUAUAAAAUCCUGGGCCCCUCUAUCACUUUCAAUAGUUGAAUAACGUAAGCAGGACAGAACCAAUCUGCGCACAGCACUUAAGACAAUUCUGUAAAUAUUUAGGCAACAAUUGUAUGUAAUUGAAAACACGGUGCUCAUAUUUCGGACCCUGUUACAACGUGUUAGCUUUGGAUGAGGAUCGCGGCAGCUUUGGUGGCUGGCAAGAAGGGCCGGGAGUGCCUAACCCACCUGGGCGGGAAGGCCAGAGAAUGCUUUAUAGAUGCCCUGUCGGCUGCCCAACUCCCACCUUUCUGGACCCCCCACCCCUCUGUGCAGAGAGUCCGAAGCUGACGGAUGCGGGCCGGAGCACCUGCCUUUGCUCGGCCAAUCCACAGGCCCUUCCAUAGAAGCCACCCCCAGAAUGUAACUGCAGUAGAACAGGAGGCAGUCUCCCUCCCACGGGCUGAGGCAGACAAGUGCAGAGCUCAGGAGGAUGGUACAUGAUUUCCGCCAAGAGGAGAGACCAAGUCUCACAAACAAUCCGGAAUAAAGUGGGCAGGCAAAAAGGAGCAGAGCCAAGACAAGGAGGCCCUGCAUCCCCCAUUCCCUGCCCGCGCCCCUGAAGCCCAGCUGCAAACCUCUGCCCUGCUGGUGGUGUGGUUUUUUGAACACUUACUUGUACUCCAAAAGCCUGACAGUCCCCGAUUUUUUGGACUGUGAAUUUAAUCUCUGUUAUAAGAAACUUGAAAAGAAAAGAAAACAAAACCGUGCUAACAUAAACACAGCCCAAGGUAUUAAAUCUUAAGAGCUUUAAUGACCCAGUGGCUUCAUGAAGGCUCUUGCAGUUCUGUGGUGAGCGUCUAAAAGGUGGAAAUCGCAUCUUUUAUUUAGCUACAGAAGGCGGAUGAAUCCCUUUAUACAAUGAGUAAGUGCUCUGUAAUUGAUUUGUUGAGUAAACUGAAUUUUUUCCAAUGCCUACUCUUCUCAAAGAGGGCCUGGCUGCACGUCAUUAGAGCUUCAGGAGGGCUGAGGGUACAAGGGUAACUCCACUU